UCUGCACACCUUCCAUGGAGGUGCUUGCUUUGAAAUAUGUUUUAAAAUUUCAAAAUCAGGAGAAGCCCUAACCAUUCUAUACUAUACCAUUCCCCUUAUUUAUCAUUUCAUCUAACCCUAACUCCCUACUCCUCUCUCGCCAAGCUCCCCCACACCAGGAACUCGCGUCGCGUCGCGCCUAGCCGCUGACCAUCGCAAUCUACUCGAAGCCUUUUCUUCGUUUCUUCUCUCCUAGCUGCGCCGCAACCCAUCAUCUUCCAGGAUUAGAACUUGCGUUUGGUCGUUCAUCUUCCCUCUCUCAAUUGGUUAUUUGUACAUUUUGACUCUUAAAGACAGAGCAAAGCUACAUUCAUGGGUGAUUCCUGUUUCUAAUCAAAUUACAAGAUUUGUACAUUAGUUGAUGUUUAUACAUAUCACCCCGUCCACCAUGGCAGACGCCACCGUGCUCUCCUUAGCUGGAUACCGCCACAACGCUGUUUUGGACUGGCUGUUGUGUUUUCACGACACAGUAAACCAAGUAGUUCCACAUGAGAAAUAGAGGGAGUUGGGUUUUGUGUUCAGGUUCACAGCUACCACCCCAAGAGCAUGUUUUGCUGUAAGUUGACUUGGGACACAGGUUUUUCCUCUUCCCCGACGAGCUGCCACAGCUGCAGAGAAGAAAAGUUGGACCUUCUCUGAAUUUUUAGUGUUCUUGAAUAGUUGAAUGUUUUAAGAGUUCAUAUGUUGUAUGUGAAAGAGAAGAGAAAGUCAAAGCAACAUAACAACCAAUGUUUAAUCACAUCUGAAAGAGCAAGAGAAAUAGCUAGAUAGUGAAUAUAUUAAGAGUGGACUGGGCGAGCCCCUAGAGGGGCAACGCCCAGCAUGCAUCCCGCCCUGAGGCGGGGCCCUGGCCUUAAGUUGGGCCUUGAUCUCGGAGGCCCAAUUGGCCCAAUAGGUAGUAUCCAAGCUCUAUAAAUAGGAGGCAGUUACCAAUUGUAGGGGACUUUUGGCUCAUUUAUGAAAUCAUACAUGAA
Molecule: long non-coding RNA, 1013 nt
Organism: Lotus japonicus
Lineage: Eukaryota; Viridiplantae; Streptophyta; Magnoliopsida; Fabales; Fabaceae
Exons: 3
Source: RefSeq, a predicted model, not a curated record